CCUAAGUUAUUAUUCUUCUAAAGUUUGCAUAAUUCUGAGAACUUAUGAAAGACAGAGCAUCCACUUAGGUAGCUGAAAGAGCAAAUCCCAUUGACAACAAAGUUCUUUUCACAUCAAUAUUAGCACUUGAUAUGAAAAGACUGCCCAUUUGGAAUUUAAAUCCAGGCUGUAAUUGCAUAGAAAAGUCUCCAUAGACCCUUCCCAGAGUUAGGGUUUGUUCACUCUGUAUCAGUUAGCCAACUGAGAUUUUGACAACUGGGAAACUAUUUGUGGGAAAAAUUUCUGUCUUUGUGACAAUGAAGUUGAGGUUAAACUUUGCUAAAGGAGGACUUGCUAUAGAGUGGAGAGAUGCAGUUUUUUAAGGAAAUUAAAUUGCACCCCAUACCUAAGUAUUUUUCAGUUUUUCUCUGUCCAGCCAUACCAAUAAGGUCACAGAGAUGUAUUUCAAAGCACAGUAAACUUUUUGCAUGAAUAAAAACAUUUUGUAACUUUUCUUAAAAGAUAUUUAAUAGCUGGUGUUGCCAUUUCUUCCCAUUGAUAAUUAAAAAAUUAAAUAUGCUUUUAAGUACUAUGUCAUGAUGCACAUCAAUUUAUAAAGUAAUUGGUGGUUAAAGUAUUUUU
This 621-nucleotide long non-coding RNA is filed under the name Bos taurus (domestic cattle). RNAcentral's name for it is "long non-coding RNA NONBTAT022355". The record is from RNAcentral. Lineage: Eukaryota; Metazoa; Chordata; Mammalia; Artiodactyla; Bovidae.